Non-coding RNA from Acyrthosiphon pisum (pea aphid), 47 nucleotides. The record is from Rfam. NCBI's taxonomy places the organism in Eukaryota, Metazoa, Arthropoda, Insecta, Hemiptera, Aphididae.
AAAAAGGCCCUUUUCAGGGCCACCAAACUUUCAGCAGUUAAUCACGU